GAUGAACGCUGGCGGCGUGCUUAACACAUGCAAGUCGAACGGAAAGGCCUCUGCUUGCAGGGGUACUCGAGUGGCGAACGGGUGAGUAACACGUGGGUGAUCUGCCCUGCACUUCGGGAUAAGCCUGGGAAACUGGGUCUAAUACCGGAUAGGACAAUGGUUUGGAUGCCGUUGUGGAAAGUUUUUCGGUGUGGGAUGAGCUCGCGGCCUAUCAGCUUGUUGGUGGGGUAAUGGCCUACCAAGGCGUCGACGGGUAGCCGGCCUGAGAGGGUGUACGGCCACAUUGGGACUGAGAUACGGCCCAGACUCCUACGGGAGGCAGCAGUGGGGAAUAUUGCACAAUGGGCGCAAGCCUGAUGCAGCGACGCCGCGUGGGGGAUGACGGCCUUCGGGUUGUAAACUCCUUUCGCUAGGGACGAAGCGAAAGUGACGGUACCUGGAGAAGAAGCACCGGCUAACUACGUG
This 465-nucleotide ribosomal RNA is filed under the name uncultured bacterium. RNAcentral describes it as "partial 16S ribosomal RNA". It matches the Rfam family "Bacterial small subunit ribosomal RNA", at positions 28 to 507 of the family's 1533-position model. The record is from RNAcentral.